GGGCUAACUAAAGAGGUGAGGGGUAAAAAGGCCAGGAGAGAGAGGGGGAGAGAGAGAGAGAGGGAGAGAGGGAAACAGACAGAGCGAGAGUCCACAAAUGGAGCAAAGGUUACAUUUAUCAAACCCUUGUGUGUGACCACCUUGACACGUCUCUGUGAAUGUGUUGGUGCUUGUGGUUCGUACAUUUUUAUCUUCCUUGUUUUUUAUUUAGUGAAUAGAAACACAGAUUCAUUCUCUGUGUAAAGUGUAAUGAAAUAGCGACCAACUGACAUGCGCGCUUCCAAUUGUCCAGCGUUUCUAUUUAUUUUGAUACAAAAAUGCACCAACUUGACUUUUUGUUUGUAGUUUGAAUCAAAUGUCGUCCUCAAUUUCCUUCCUUGUCAGCUGACCAAAGAUUUAACCAAACUUUCAUUGUUAACCAGAAAUUGUAACUUCUUGAUACGUUUAUUGUUUUGCCUCUGAGUACAAAAACGGACAAACACUUUUUUGCACAACUUAUAGUCACGUUUCUAAAUACUCAAGAUUAGAUGAGAUCUCUCUGUUCCAAGCACGCAUCUGGGCCCUCAUGGCCAUCGGGGAAGUCGCUCAUUAGUUUUGUGCACCUUUUUUUACGUGAAAUCUUUGACUUUGACAAAUCAAAUUAUCAAUGUACUGUGGACUAUCAGUGUACUGUGUAUUGUAUGUGUAGACAAAUGGAAACCGGGGUUAAUAAAGUUGAAAUAUAUAUAUAUAUAUAUAUAUAUAUAUAUAUAUAUAUAUAUAUAUCCUCAAGCCAAUUGUUUUUUUGAAAAGCAUAAAUAUCUACUGAGUUUUUUUACAUUACAUUACAUUAUAUGUAUAUUACUACCACUCUGUUGACAUUUCAUUAUUCUUUAUCCUUGAUAAAUAUGAAUUAACAUAUAACUCAUGUCGAAGUCUAUGUUUUACCUAAAUUGAUGAUCUAAGAUUUAAGAAUAUUCUCAGUUGAAUCACCAUGUCUCAGAGGGCGGGGAAUAACAUUCCAACUAAUGAUAGCACAGUUGGAAUCUGAUUGACUCAAGCAGCAGGAAGUAAGAACGAAAAUGCAAUUCCGAUUGACCCAAUGACAUCUUUCCACAUUUAGUCUCGCCCUAAUAUCCUGAAUAGUAACGAAAUAAACUCUGAAUCUUAUUUA
Gadus macrocephalus (Pacific cod) is the source of this 1153-nucleotide long non-coding RNA. RefSeq lists it as uncharacterized. Lineage: Eukaryota; Metazoa; Chordata; Actinopteri; Gadiformes; Gadidae. The record is from RefSeq and is a predicted model, not a curated record. The transcript is spliced from 2 exons.